RNAcentral lists this long non-coding RNA (841 nucleotides) under Linum usitatissimum (flax). RNAcentral describes it as "long non-coding RNA (LUSI_LNC003922)". Lineage: Eukaryota; Viridiplantae; Streptophyta; Magnoliopsida; Malpighiales; Linaceae. The record is from RNAcentral.
UCUCCUCCAAACUGAACGAUUUUCAUUUCCUCCCCCAACCUUUUUCUCUAUCCCUUUCCCUCCCUCUCUCUCUCCACCUCUGCCUCGUCGUCUCCGCCUUCCCCUCCGCUGACUCCACCGCCAACAUCCUCUCCUCCUUCUUUUCCUCCACCCACACCUCCGACCACUUCCACGUCAUCCGUUCCGAUCCCGUCCCUCACAAGAACUCCCACUGUCUUGCCCUCCGACAGAGGAGACGGCGUCGGAGAUGAAAGGAGGAGAUGCGUCGGAGAUGAAGGAGGAGACGGCGCCGAUCGAGCCCGAGGACGACGAUGGGUGAGGCGUUGACUCCUGUUUCCUUCUUUUUUUAAACGCGGCGACACCGCCUUUUCCGAUUCUGCGCUGCGGAGGCGCUCGGGGCGGUGCUGCGCGGCUCGAGGCGACGAUUCGGCGACGAUCCGCCUUAAUCAGUCCGCCUCGCACUAAUCGCCGCGUAUCCUCUCCGCCCAGCCGAUUUUUCCGCCUAGGCGGCCACAGAGGCACGCCUUCCCGAACACUGAUAACUAGUAAUUGUUAUUAUAACUAAUUAUGUGAAGAUAACUUAUCCAAUUAAGUAAUUAGUUGUAUGCUAAAAUAACUAGUUAUCUAUGUGUAUAACUAGUUAUUUAAUCUAUUAACUCGUUUUAAUCACUAGAUUUAUCACCCGUUCGUUUGUUGGUAUAUUUUGUUCAUUUUUCUAAAAAACAUUUGUGCAUACCAUUGACAAUAUAUCUUUGUUUAUGAAUGGAUCUCGAUUAGGGGUGGAAAUUGUGCAUGUUUUGAGUUAUCCCGAAUAAGCAUGGAUUUGAGUAUUUGUUACCCG